AGAUACGUCAGUUUAUAAUAUACCGACAGGAAAACAGGGUUAGCAAAGACACAACUGUUUAUUUGUAGGUAUAAAUCAAAGGAACAUAAUUAGUUUUCUGCUAUGUACAUGCAUUUGUGGACAGGUUGCUCCUAAGUUGUCAUUUUUCACAGUAACAGUCUAAGCACCUAUAAAUAUUUUCCUUCUCAAAUAUACUAAACAUCAAAAGUGGCAGUUUGAAUGAGACAUUCCCUAUAGUCUCAGGCAUUAGAAUGAUUGGUGUCUGGCUGGUGGUGCUCUUUGGCUCAGGAGACAUAGGCUUGCUUGAGGAAGAAUGUCACUGGAUACAGGCUUUGAGAGUUCAGAAUCGCGCCAUUUCACGUUUGCCCUCUUGGUUUCCUGUUCGCUGUUUUGAGAUGUGAGUUCCUGCAGCCAUGUCUGCCUGCUGCUGCAUGUCCCCAGUGUGACGCUGGUAGAUUCUUAGAUCCCUGGAGCCAUAAGCCCCAAAGAAGCCCUUCUAUACAGUGCCUUGGUCAUGGUGUUCUCCCAGAGCAACAGAAAAGUAACUAAUAGAUUAAGUGAAAACUGGCCUGCUGUUUCCCUAAUUUACUAGUGAGUUUAACACUAGUCUCAAUGAGCAGGGCUCCUGUGUUAAAAUAAAAUGUAAAAGUACAUGUUUUUGAAGAUAGGGUCUUUGUAGGUAUCCCAGAAUGGCGCGCAACUGGCUACACAGCUCAGGAUGGCUUUGAACACAAAAUCCCCCACUUCCUCCUCCUGUGUAUGGGCAUGCACCACUAUACCUGGCACACAAAAAGGAUUCUGAGAAAACCAGACUGGAUCAAGGAUGCUCACAGAAGACUGGAAGCUCAAACAGAUACCACACCCUGACCUCUCAAGUUAUUCAAGACAACCUGAAGUCUAGAUAGUUGUACACCGACCCUACUUUGCAGGCUCCAUGGAAAAAUCGGCACUUAAGCUGUGGCUCUGUUCAGAACAUACUAUUUCAAGAAGGGAAGACUGCAGAAGAGGAAGUGGAGGAAUGUACAAGCCUUAGGAUGGGAACGAGUGCUUUGAAAUGCUGACUUCUGGAUAAGACACGGUUGCUGCACCCAGGGUAUGACAAAGUGGUGGUUAACGGCACAAAAGUGGCCAUCAACAGUCAUCAUGGAUAGAGGAGGGGCCCACGAUAUCCUAACCCCUCUGAAAAGGUGACAGUUGCUGAGUGGGGGAGUCAUACUCUUCAUUGGGUUAGCAACUGCUAAACUGCUCCUACCCAUGCUUAUGUAAGCAACCAACCAUAAUUAGAUGCAAUGGGACACAAACAGAAAGAUAGGAAGUAGGAGGGGCCUGUUAGAAAGAAGAAGGGGUUCAUUAUGAGAAGGGAGAGGAUAAUGGGGAGAUGUGUUAAAGUGCUUGUGUAUGUGUGCAAGAAACUGAAAGAAUAAACAAAAAAUGUUUCAAAAGCAAAGCAAACCAAAGAAACUAAUGUCAGGGAUAGGGAGG
Long non-coding RNA from Peromyscus californicus insignis, 1482 nucleotides. RefSeq lists it as uncharacterized. NCBI's taxonomy places the organism in Eukaryota, Metazoa, Chordata, Mammalia, Rodentia, Cricetidae. The record is from RefSeq and is a predicted model, not a curated record. The transcript has 4 exons.